GUCGUCCUACGGGACGCAGCAGUGAGGAAUAUUGGUCAAUGGACGGAAGUCUGAACCAGCCAUGCCGCGUGCAGGAAGACGGCUCUAUGAGUUGUAAACUGCUUUUGUACAAGGGUAAACCUGAAUACGUGUACUCAGCUGAAAGUACUGUACGAAUAAGGAUCGGCUAACUCCGUGCCAGCAGCCGCGGUAAUACGGAGGAUCCAAGCGUUAUCCGGAUUUAUUGGGUUUAAAGGGUGCGUAGGCGGAUUGAUAAGUUAGAGGUG
RNAcentral lists this ribosomal RNA (266 nucleotides) under uncultured bacterium. RNAcentral's name for it is "partial 16S ribosomal RNA". It matches the Rfam family "Bacterial small subunit ribosomal RNA", at positions 333 to 596 of the family's 1533-position model. The record is from RNAcentral.